UCUUUGCGGAAACGCUUAGUUGACUUGUCUACGAAUUGUAAUCAUAAUAUGGGYGACGGUGAAUCCUUUGCAGACGACUUGAAUGGGAACGGGGUACUGUAAGUGGUAGAGUAGCCUUGUUGCUACGAUCCACUGAGGUUAAGCCCUUGUUCUAAAGAUUUGU
This 163-nucleotide ribosomal RNA is filed under the name Armillaria mellea. Its description in RNAcentral is "partial 28S ribosomal RNA". It matches the Rfam family "Eukaryotic large subunit ribosomal RNA", at positions 3238 to 3401 of the family's 3401-position model. The record is from RNAcentral. Lineage: Eukaryota; Fungi; Basidiomycota; Agaricomycetes; Agaricales; Physalacriaceae.